Long non-coding RNA from Liolophura sinensis, 357 nucleotides. RefSeq lists it as uncharacterized. The record is from RefSeq and is a predicted model, not a curated record. NCBI's taxonomy places the organism in Eukaryota, Metazoa, Mollusca, Polyplacophora, Chitonida, Chitonidae. The transcript is spliced from 4 exons.
CUGAACGGUCCCUAGGUCCUCGUUCAUCAUGGCGACGCUGGCCUGUGCUCUGACCCUGAUCCUUCUCAGCCAUAUUGUCGGCUCUAUUGGACUGUUCGGCAAUAUAGACAAGGGCCCUACAUGGAUAGACUACAAGAAGGUGGAACUGGAUAAACAAGGGUGGAUGACGUUUAAGAUCCUAGAAGCUGCCCCAAUCCCUAACGACCCGGAUGCUGAGAGAAAAAGCCUCUUCGGGUGAUCUGAUCAGACUCGGCAAUGACGUCACAGAUCAAGGCACGUACGGGCAGCCAUUGGUGAAUUAAAACGAGGCAAUACAUUUUGUGAAGAAAGCAAUUGUAGAUUAAAACUGCGUGGCCU